UACGUAGGCAGCGAGCGUUGUUCGGAGUUACUGGGCGUAAAGGGUGUGUAGGCGGUUGUUUAAGUUUGGUGUGAAAUCUCCCGGCUCAACUGGGAGGGUGCGCCGAAUACUGAAUGACUUGGAGGGCGGGAGAGGAAAGUGGAAUUCCUGGUGUAGCGGUGAAAUGCGUAGAUAUCAGGAGGAACACCGGUGGUGUAGACGGCUUUCUGGACCGUAACUGACGCUGAGACACGAAAGCGUGGGUAGCAAACAGG
This 254-nucleotide ribosomal RNA is filed under the name uncultured bacterium. Its description in RNAcentral is "partial 16S ribosomal RNA". It matches the Rfam family "Bacterial small subunit ribosomal RNA", at positions 524 to 776 of the family's 1533-position model. The record is from RNAcentral.